Tachyglossus aculeatus (Australian echidna) is the source of this 1943-nucleotide long non-coding RNA. RefSeq lists it as uncharacterized. The transcript is spliced from 4 exons. Lineage: Eukaryota; Metazoa; Chordata; Mammalia; Monotremata; Tachyglossidae. The record is from RefSeq and is a predicted model, not a curated record.
AGCCUGCAAAAAAGGAGAAGAGUCAUGAAAAUGCAUCUUAAAGACAAGAGGAUGAGAGCCUUCUCAGAACCAGUGUUUCUUUUCUGAGGGAUCCCGGGAGCCGGGACCCCUGCUUUUGAUCCAAAACAACCGAGGAUUCGGGGAGAGGCGAUCUGCCACCGCUUUUGGCGGACCAGUUCAAGCCGGCAGGUUCGGGGCGGCUUGACAAUUCCCGUGGAAGUAGGCGGCCGAGAACCCGAGACUCUCGGGGCCCAGGCUCCUCGGAGGACAGUGUUGUAUUUCCAAAAAAUGGCAGGGUGCUAGCCGCUGACCAGUGGUAGACUGAGCACCGAGGAGACUACUACAGACAUAUAAAAGACACGAUCGUCGUCCUCGGGGGAGAUGACGUGUCGGAAUAAACACGGGGUCCGCAGCCGGGAGGGCCGAGUGGGAACGUGCGGAAAACAAACCGGGGAAGGAGGAGUGGGAUAUGAGAAGGUGGGGAGCGCCGCCAAACUGAGCCCCCGCCCCAGUCCGGACCAUCUGGCUCUAGCAGGCCGAGCCUGAGAACCCUACGGCCUCCACUUCCCUAGCAGUAAAAAGGGGCCCGGGGGGAGAGAUUGGAAUAAUAGCUUGACAAUUUUGAAGAAAACCAGGACCCCUGACUAUCACCCCAAGGUUAAGUCCCAUCCUGCUUCCUGGCGGGCAGCCCCGGCCCCGUGGGCAAGACCCCCUCCCUCCCUCCCUCCAUCUGUAGAAGCAGAAGGUGCCAGGACUCAGAGCCUCCCUCCCUCCCGCCUGCCGCCGUAAGCCUUCCCCGCUGUCAGUUAGAAAGCCGGGGCCGAGAUGAUCCCCCUCCCCGGCCUCGGACUCCCGCGUUCUGUGGCCCUCCUGUUCCAUCGUGGGCAAACGACCCGUUGUCGCCUACCUGUUCCUCACUUGCUCUUCCUCCUCGCCACCAUCCACGGCUGGUUUUGGCCUGAUUAAAUACUGUGUCUGCUGCCGCUCUUUCGGGGGGCUCACUGUAGUCCCCAAACCCCCAAGCUCAGGGCAAAUAGGGGAAUAGUCCCACUGCGCCUCACUCCCUACUGUCGCUUUCUCUCCAUCUCUUCCCCUCCUCUUCCUCCUCCCUAGGAGACAGGAGAAGGUGGGAGGGCAGUGUGAGGAGGCGUUCUACUCACCCCGAUGAUGGCUCCAAGGGCUGGGGGGGAGCCCCGUUCGCCUGAGGCCGAGCAGGGAACAAGCCACAGCUACUCUGAAGACUUCACUGACCUCCCAAGAAGACUGUGAAUAGAACUGUGAUCCAUUCAGAGAUCGAGAAAAAUGAAGCCAGUUCCUAGAAACGGAGUCCUCGGCCUUUAUGGGCAAAUGGGAGCUAAAUACAUUCAAAAAUACAUACAUGAAACAGGCUAUUCUGCCGAACCUGUCAAACUUGCUUUAUAAAUGUCAUAAAGACCACAGGGAGUUCCAGACCUCUGAAUUCUGAAGAACACUCUAUGAUUUACUACCGCUACAAGAUAAUCUUUUCAACUGCUGUUUUCUGGUACCCAAGAAAGAUCAAUCAAUCGUAUUUACUGUGGACUAUUAAACGACGGGUCCCUGACGGAACAUCUUUGAUCGUAGUCCAGCAGUUGAGAGCAUUGCCUAGAGGGGGUUUGUGGGUCACCUCCUACGAUAGGUUCCCCCAGACAGGAUCUCAUCGGUGGACCGGUCCUGAGCCAGGGAUUUCACGUUUCCGAAUCGCAACUGUCCCAGAAUUCCUGAAGGAAACGAGAUGGGGUCUUUGCUUAAAAUGUGCCCAGCGAAAGCUUUGUGGUCCAAGUGGGUACGGGGGCACGACUGAGGGACAUCUGACCCCGGACGUCCCACCGGCACAGCAAACCGAACUGCAACGCCUCAGCAGCGUGGCCCAAUGGAAAGAGCACGGAUUUUGGAGUCAGAGGUCGUGGGUUCAAACCCCGGCU